RNAcentral lists this long non-coding RNA (259 nucleotides) under Lathyrus oleraceus (garden pea). RNAcentral's name for it is "Pisum sativum (pea) long non-coding RNA (PSAT_LNC010236)". Lineage: Eukaryota; Viridiplantae; Streptophyta; Magnoliopsida; Fabales; Fabaceae. The record is from RNAcentral.
UAAAUCUUGGACACUCAAACUUAAUAUAGCAGAACCUCAACAUUUUUUUUCUUAUGCUUAUGCACCUUCCGAAACAACACAUCAACAACAUGGAAAUGAGGACCCAUUCAUGAAUAGGACACAAUAAUUUUCAAACCUAAACUCACCACAACACUACUUAUCACAACAUAAGAAAAAGCAAAACCACACUGAACUGAAAUGCAGCAAAGCAAACAAACUGAACAACACAACUUAAAAAAAGAAGCAAAUUAAAACAAAC